AUUGAACGCUGGCGGCAGGCUUAACACAUGCAAGUCGAGCGGGGGAAGGUAGCUUGCUACCGGACCUAGCGGCGGACGGGUGAGUAAUGCUUAGGAAUCUGCCUAUUAGUGGGGGACAACAUCUCGAAAGGGAUGCUAAUACCGCAUACGUCCUACGGGAGAAAGCAGGGGAUCUUCGGACCUUGCGCUAAUAGAUGAGCCUAAGUCGGAUUAGCUAGUUGGUGGGGUAAAGGCCUACCAAGGCGACGAUCUGUAGCGGGUCUGAGAGGAUGAUCCGCCACACUGGGACUGAGACACGGCCCAGACUCCUACGGGAGGCAGCAGUGGGGAAUAUUGGACAAUGGGGGGAACCCUGAUCCAGCCAUGCCGCGUGUGUGAAGAAGGCCUUAUGGUUGUAAAGCACUUUAAGCG
This 411-nucleotide ribosomal RNA is filed under the name Acinetobacter baumannii OIFC109. RNAcentral describes it as "bacterial SSU rRNA". It matches the Rfam family "Bacterial small subunit ribosomal RNA", at positions 30 to 441 of the family's 1533-position model. Lineage: Bacteria; Pseudomonadati; Pseudomonadota; Gammaproteobacteria; Moraxellales; Moraxellaceae. The record is from RNAcentral.